RNAcentral lists this ribosomal RNA (795 nucleotides) under Streptomyces sp. SS8(2015). RNAcentral describes it as "bacterial SSU rRNA". It matches the Rfam family "Bacterial small subunit ribosomal RNA", at positions 62 to 867 of the family's 1533-position model. Lineage: Bacteria; Bacillati; Actinomycetota; Actinomycetes; Kitasatosporales; Streptomycetaceae. The record is from RNAcentral.
UCUAAACGAUUGAACCUCCUUCGGGAGGGGAUUAUUGGCGAACGGGUGAGUAACACGUGGGCAAUCUGCCCUGCACUCUGGGACAAGCCCUGGAAACGGGGUCUAAUACCGGAUACUGAUCAUCUUGGGCAUCCUUGGUGAUCGAAAGCUCCGGCGGUGCAGGAUGAGCCCGCGGCCUAUCAGCUUGUUGGUGAGGUAAUGGCUCACCAAGGCGACGACGGGUAGCCGGCCUGAGAGGGCGACCGGCCACACUGGGACUGAGACACGGCCCAGACUCCUACGGGAGGCAGCAGUGGGGAAUAUUGCACAAUGGGCGAAAGCCUGAUGCAGCGACGCCGCGUGAGGGAUGACGGCCUUCGGGUUGUAAACCUCUUUCAGCAGGGAAGAAGCGAAAGUGACGGUACCUGCAGAAGAAGCGCCGGCUAACUACGUGCCAGCAGCCGCGGUAAUACGUAGGGCGCGAGCGUUGUCCGGAAUUAUUGGGCGUAAAGAGCUCGUAGGCGGCUUGUCGCGUCGGUUGUGAAAGCCCGGGGCUUAACCCCGGGUCUGCAGUCGAUACGGGCAGGCUAGAGUUCGGUAGGGGAGAUCGGAAUUCCUGGUGUAGCGGUGAAAUGCGCAGAUAUCAGGAGGAACACCGGUGGCGAAGGCGGAUCUCUGGGCCGAUACUGACGCUGAGGAGCGAAAGCGUGGGGAGCGAACAGGAUUAGAUACCCUGGUAGUCCACGCCGUAAACGGUGGGCACUAGGUGUGGGCGACAUUCCACGUCGUCCGUGCCGCAGCUAACGCAUUAAGUGC